This 73-nucleotide transfer RNA is filed under the name Paramuricea clavata. It matches the Rfam family "tRNA". From Rfam's summary of the family: Transfer RNA (tRNA) molecules are approximately 80 nucleotides in length. Their secondary structure includes four short double-helical elements and three loops (D, anti-codon, and T loops). Lineage: Eukaryota; Metazoa; Cnidaria; Anthozoa; Malacalcyonacea; Plexauridae. The record is from Rfam by way of RNAcentral.
GACCGCAUAGCUCAGUUGGCAGAGCAUUGGGCUAGUAUUCCAAAGGUCGUAGGUUCGAUUCUCACCGUGGUCA